GUCGUGCGCGCUUCGGUUCAGUGGGUCGGUUCGGGGGAGGUACGUGGCUGUUGCCUGGGAUUCUUUUCGUUUCGGGUUCGCUUCCGGUCUUCCCCUUCUCCCCUGUUUCCUUCCGCGAGGGGUUUCGUCUCCCGAAUCACUCUUUCUUCCGGCCGCUGCUACUGCUGCACCGGGAGCUGCUUUCGGCGGUGGCGCUGGUCUCGUCGUGGGUUGUCGACUCGGCCGUUCCUUCUCUUCUUCUCGCAGGUUCGCAUUGGAGGUUGAGACGGUGGGAUCUGUUUGAGGUUGGUUCUGUUAUGCUGUGUGCCCCGCCGUCGGUUGCUGGACUUCGCGUCGUCCGUCUGUGAGGUAUGCGCCGUUCUGCAGUGCUGCUGAGUUCUUCCAUAGUGUAUUUUGUCAUGCGCUUUGGUUCUGUGUGGGGUCUUUGGUUCGGGAUUUGUCUGGUCUGCCUCUUUCUGUUGUCUGUGUCUUAGCGUCCAUGGAUGGCGAGGUUUCUUCGAGUCAGGGCGGUCGGCGUCGCGCAUCGCAAGCUGCUGCGGGCGAGUCUUCUUCGGGCGGGCGUGGUCAUCGCCGUCCACCGGUUGCUGCGAGCGAUGGUUCUUCGCGAGAAAGCGCCUGUCGUUCUCCUCCCGCUGGCUUGCGUCGCAGUAAGUAAAGUUAAGAGGGAAAUGCUCCAACACAGAGCAGCUGUUACAAAACUAGAGCAAGAACAAAAGCAUACUCCAUGCACCGGGGGCAGAUCAAAGAGGAAGAGCAAUCAGACAACUUCCUCCACUUCAUGCACAGAAGCAGAUUUCCUCCAGGGGGCUGAAGCGGGCAAGCAGAUCAUGCAACUUCAGGCGAAUCAGGGAGCUUGGCAGGCCUCCAGAAGACCUCUCUCGGGAGGACAUCUGAAGCUCCAGGGAAGGCCCCGAGAUGCAGAGAGUGGAACAUCCCCCAGCAAGGGCAUCAUCCAUGAAGACGCUCAGGUCCGAAGGAGUAGUUGCCAAAGCUAGAGCUCUAUUCAUCUCCACGACAGUUGUACUGGCGCCUGGAGGCGACCAAUAGUGUGCUUGAUGAACUUGUCCAUCAGUGCCUGCAUAUGAUCUUUGUAAAGGAGAGACCAUUUGCGCAGAGAACGCAGGAUCAACCACCAGAUCUGUGUAAUAUCAGUCCAUGGUUUGUGAUUAAAAAUCAUAUCAUUGCGAAAUUUCUACAAAUUCCACAUGAUAGCAGCAUUAACAGUAUUCA
Molecule: long non-coding RNA, 1230 nt
Organism: Brachypodium distachyon (stiff brome)
Lineage: Eukaryota; Viridiplantae; Streptophyta; Magnoliopsida; Poales; Poaceae
Exons: 3
Source: RefSeq, a predicted model, not a curated record